CCUACGGGAGGCAGCAGUGAGGAAUAUUGGUCAAUGGGCUUACGCCUGAACCAGCCAAGUCGCGUGAGGGAAGACUGCCCUAUGGGUUGUAAACCUCUUUUGUCAGGGAGCAAUUGGCGCUACGUGUAGCGUUAUCGAGAGUACCUGAAGAAAAAGCAUCGGCUAACUCCGUGCCAGCAGCCGCGGUAAUACGGAGGUUGCGAGCGUUAUCCGGAUUUAUUGGGUUUAAAGGGUGCGUAGGCGGAAUGCAAAGUCAGCGGGAACAAUGCGGUGCGUAACGCCGUCGAGCCGUUGAAACUGGCGUUCUUGAGUGGGCGAGAAGUAUGCGGAAUGCGUGGUGUAGCGGUGAAAUGCAUAGAUAUCACGCAGAACUCCGAUUGCGAAGGCAGCAUACCGGCGCCCUACUGACGCUGAGGCACGAAAGCGUGGGUAUCGAACAGGAUUAGAUACCCUUGUAGUC
RNAcentral lists this ribosomal RNA (460 nucleotides) under uncultured bacterium. RNAcentral describes it as "partial 16S ribosomal RNA". It matches the Rfam family "Bacterial small subunit ribosomal RNA", at positions 338 to 795 of the family's 1533-position model. The record is from RNAcentral.